UACGUAGGGUGCGAGCGUUAAUCGGAAUUACUGGGCGUAAAGCGUGCGCAGGCGGUUUUGUAAGCCAGAUGCGAAAUCCCCGGGCUUAACCUGGGAAUGGCAUUUGGGACUGCAAGGCUUGAGUGCGGCAGAGGAGACUGGAAUUCCUGGUGUAGCAGUGAAAUGCGUAGAUAUCAGGAGGAACACCGAUGGCGAAGGCAGGUCUCUGGGCUGACACUGACGCUCAUGCACGAAAGCGUGGGGAGCAAACAGG
This 253-nucleotide ribosomal RNA is filed under the name uncultured bacterium. RNAcentral's name for it is "partial 16S ribosomal RNA". It matches the Rfam family "Bacterial small subunit ribosomal RNA", at positions 524 to 776 of the family's 1533-position model. The record is from RNAcentral.